UAUCAAAUCUUAAAGAGGCAUUUUAUAAAAUAACCCAUUUUCAUCCACCAUAGCAAAUGAUCACUGAUUAUCUUCGAGAGUGUGAUGUAUCUCACAUCCCCGUUAUGUAGUUUAAACACCAAUCCAAGUCAACAUAUCUACUCCAAUCCUAAGAGAAAAUUACACGAACAGUCCACAAAUUUCCCUCUAAUUUCAAUUUUAUUCUAUCUCUUCCUCUCUGUCAAACCCUCCAAAGUUCCUGCAGAUCUCCUGCACUGUGAAAUCCAAAAACCAAAACUGGCUCAAGGUGCGUCUAUAAUUCCUAUAUGUGAAUAAUUGCACAUCCUUCCUCUUCCAUUCCUUAAUCUCAAUCCAGAACCAGUCAUUUUCUGAAGGUACCUUUGGGAGAGGCCAGUACUUCUUUGUUGGGCUUAAAAGUACUACAAAGGUCUCUGAGCAAUACAAUAACACACAAUUUGAAUCUUGGUCAUCCAUCAGUCUUCUGCGAAAUUUUUGGAUGAAGUGCACCGAUUCUAUUCCAUUGCAUAGCUGACAAAAGCCCAGAUGAAAAUUGCAGGACAUUAUUGAAAUUGGAGGUAAACUUGGAACCAUUAGUUUAAUUCAUCUCAUGUUGCCCUCUCUCAAGACAUCAAUCAUAUUAUAGAUCCGCUUGUCUGCCCUUGACUGAAUCUUCUUAGCAAGGAAAAUUAUAGCAUCAACAGUACCCUCUGCAUAAAUGGAUCUACCACAAACAUUGUGUUGAAACUCAAAAGAAACUGUUUGAUCAGGUGAUGUCAGAUGAUACAUAUGGAAUGCAUGGCCAGACAAAUACUCCUCUGGUACACCUACCACCUCAAUUUGUUGCUUGGGAUCCCGGAUCAUUUGUAUCUUAUCCGUGUCAAAAGACACACCCAAUUUCUGGAAGCAAGAAAUAACAGCCUUAGCAGUUCCGGAUGUGUCCAACUUCCCAGCUUGAUGGGACUCCAACACCUGAAGAGAAUACCCAGAAAAAGCUCCAGGAAAUUGCUCAGCCAUAAUCUCCAUGGCUGCAAGAAAAGCAACCACCUGCUUCCCCAUCUGUGGGGAGAUCACAGCAUAAAUUUUUGAAUCCUCUACAGUCUUAUAUAACAGAUCCCUAUCUCCACCAGUAGUUCCCAUAACAAAGGGCACCCCAACUUUGCAAUACAGUUCCGCAUUAUCAUUUACUGCUGCAGGAACAGUGUAAUCCACCACAAUUAGGUUUGGAUGCUCAUCAUAGAUGGAUGCAAGAACAUCUUCUCUUUCAGGAGGACCAUGUAUCUUAAUAUCAUUUCCGCAUACUUGCACGAUAUUUCCAGACUCGUCUGGUGAGCCAAAUGAUACAGGAAGAAUCUGGAGUCCAGCAGAGUCUGCUGCCUUAAUAACAGCCUUCCCCAUUUUACCACUACAACCAUUUACCAUGAUUGGAAUGUCAAUAUUUUUGGUUGACAUGGACACUACCGCCAUGGAAGAUCUCCGUCUAUGUGUAAGAGUACUAGUUCUCUGGCUCCUAUGAUGAGAUAAGGUAAAGGUCCAAGGUUUAAUAGAAACACAAGAUGCUGCCAUUGUCCUUCAAGUAUUUCCCUUUUCUUCUUCAAUGUCAAGGAGAAUACCUAAAUUUCAUGAAAAAAGAGGCAUUGCCAACUGGGUCUUUUUCAGUUUGUUUAGGGUUUAAUCGAAAUCAUGAAAAUGAUGCCAUUGCUAGAUUCUGAAAUUGAAAUGAGAGUGUAAAAGAACAAAUGCUACGAUACCUAAUGGCUGUUGUUGGCGGAGAAACAGUGCCUUCGAUUAGGGUUUAGGGAACUGCGAAGAAACAGAUGAGUGAUUAUGCUGUAGGCCUCCAAGUUGGAGACUCAUUUGCUUCAGAAGAUUUUGUUCGAGUACAGUGGAG
Molecule: unclassified non-coding RNA, 1888 nt
Filed under: Hevea brasiliensis (rubber tree)
Lineage: Eukaryota; Viridiplantae; Streptophyta; Magnoliopsida; Malpighiales; Euphorbiaceae
Source: RNAcentral